AAAAAAACGGUGAAAAAGAAAGUCCUGAACCCCAAAAAAACUCCAACAAGCACCAAGAAAGUUCCAAGCACCAGCACCAAGAACUCAAAAACCUUGACAGG
Ficedula albicollis (Collared flycatcher) is the source of this 101-nucleotide long non-coding RNA. RefSeq lists it as uncharacterized. The record is from RefSeq and is a predicted model, not a curated record. The transcript is spliced from 2 exons. Lineage: Eukaryota; Metazoa; Chordata; Aves; Passeriformes; Muscicapidae.